UACAGAGGUCCCAAGCGUUGUUCGGAUUCACUGGGCGUAAAGGGUGCGUAGGUGGCCUAAAAAGUUUGAUGUGAAAGCUCAGGGCUUAACCCUGAAAUGGCAUUGAAUACUGUUGGGCUGGAGGUUUGGAGGGGGGACUGGAAUUCUUGGUGUAGCAGUGAAAUGCGUAGAUAUCAAGAGGAACACCAGUGGCGAAGGCGAGUCCCUGGACAACACCUGACACUGAGGCACGAAAGCCGGGGGAGCAAACAGG
RNAcentral lists this ribosomal RNA (253 nucleotides) under uncultured bacterium. Its description in RNAcentral is "partial 16S ribosomal RNA". It matches the Rfam family "Bacterial small subunit ribosomal RNA", at positions 524 to 776 of the family's 1533-position model. The record is from RNAcentral.